RNAcentral lists this ribosomal RNA (495 nucleotides) under uncultured bacterium. RNAcentral describes it as "partial 16S ribosomal RNA". It matches the Rfam family "Bacterial small subunit ribosomal RNA", at positions 28 to 507 of the family's 1533-position model. The record is from RNAcentral.
GAUGAACGCUGGCGGCGUGCCUAAUACAUGCAAGUAGAACGCUGAAGGAGGAGCUUGCUCUUCUGGAUGAGUUGCGAACGGGUGAGUAACGCGUAGGUAACCUGCCUGGUAGCGGGGGAUAACUAUUGGAAACGAUAGCUAAUACCGCAUGACAACAGUUAUUGCAUGAUAACUGUUUAAAAGGGGCAACUGCUCCACUACCAGAUGGACCUGCGUUGUAUUAGCUAGUUGGUGAGGUAACGGCUCACCAAGGCGACGAUACAUAGCCGACCUGAGAGGGUGAUCGGCCACACUGGGACUGAGACACGGCCCAGACUCCUACGGGAGGCAGCAGUAGGGAAUCUUCGGCAAUGGACGGAAGUCUGACCGAGCAACGCCGCGUGAGUGAAGAAGGUUUUCGGAUCGUAAAGCUCUGUUGUAAGAGAAGAACGAGUGUGAGAGUGGAAAGUUCACACUGUGACGGCAUCUUACCAGAAAGGGACGGCUAACUACGUG